UGAAUUUUGUGGUUACACUUGGUCAGCCU
RNAcentral lists this non-coding RNA (29 nucleotides) under Rattus norvegicus (Norway rat). Lineage: Eukaryota; Metazoa; Chordata; Mammalia; Rodentia; Muridae. The record is from RNAcentral.